AUGGCGGCGGUGCCGCCCCGCCGGGCGGGAGGUGGCGCGCGCGGUUCCGGCGGCAAAAUGGCCUCUGAGCGAACACUGAGGCACAUCUGAAAAUACAUAAAUUACGCGAAUAGUUACAUCUCGCUUAGUGUCUAAAGUUGUCCCGCCCAUGGGUGGGACUAAACGAGGGGCUGGGCUCGCUGCUGCUGCGGGCUCCCUUCCAGCUCGGCCUGUUCUGUAAUUCUGUGAUCUUUAAGCUCUCUUCCCACCCAAUCCAUUCUUGUGAUUCUACGACAUUAAUUUUUUUUCGGUGUUAAAAUAUUAGCCAGCAGCAACAACAAAAAAGUUACAUUUUCAAUGUGUAAUAUUUGUUUCUCAAAAAUACAGUUCAGCUUGUUCUAAACAUGAGUAUGAAAAGUUAACUUAUAUACAUGUAGGAAAAAAAAAAAAAACAAGCCUCCCAGGGAUAAAAAGACUUAAUUGUGGCCAAACACUAUUACUCAUAGGUGUUGUACCUCGAGCUCAUCUGAUCUGUCCAAUUCUGUGAACGCAGGCAGAUCACUUAAAAAUCCAGCUUUUUCCCCAAAGAGCUUACAGUCUAAAUAACAUUUAUUUUUCUCAGCAGAGACUUAGAGGACUGCAAGAAGGGGGAAAAAAAAAAUCCACCUAGAGAAAAUUAUUCCAUCUGAAAAUAAAACUAUGUAGAAUUUAUUUUUAAGAAUUCUCCACCAAAUUAGAAGGUAGACCAGACUCUUGAGGCAGUGGUGUUUGAAUCUGGACACACAGAAAGAUCCAUCCCAGCGGAGACUCUGGAAGACAGAGCAAAUGCUGGCUCUGCAGGAAGCGAAGCAGAUGUGUCAAGCCUGGCCCCUUUGGAAUGGAGGAGCAAAGGGAAAUGCCCCCAGGGAAUCCCGUGUUACUCAGCCCUGCUCCCAUUUAUCAGCAGUGCUGGACCUUGUCAAUGCUGAGAAAUUUGCUGAAGGGAGAAGACUAGAGCUCAAAAGAGUGAAGGACAAGAAAAACCAACAUAGUGACUCAGGGUAUCUCCUAUUUUGAGUUACUGCUGGCGAUUGGAAGUGGAGAACUGUAGCUGUGAUCCUGCCCGUGCUCCUCACUGUGCCACAGGGAUUAAACUCCUCCAGCACUGUCAGCAGCCUGACAUCUAGUGGAGGCGAACAGUGGGCAGCAGAACCCAGCCCGACACCAUCCGGCUGCAGGGGUCAUUGAUCCACUGCAGGUGUGGAGUUCAUUGCAUUUAUUAUUCCCGUUUGUGAGAUAUAAAAUAGUGAGUUAAUCUA
Pseudopipra pipra is the source of this 1277-nucleotide long non-coding RNA. RefSeq lists it as uncharacterized. The record is from RefSeq and is a predicted model, not a curated record. NCBI's taxonomy places the organism in Eukaryota, Metazoa, Chordata, Aves, Passeriformes, Pipridae. The transcript has 2 exons.